UGGCGGCGUGCUUACACAUGCAAGUCGAACGGUGAAGCCCUUCGGGGUGGAUCAGUGGCGAACGGGUGAGUAACACGUGGGCAAUCUGCCCUGCACUCUGGGACAAGCCCUGGAAACGGGGUCUAAUACCGGAUAUGACCUUCCUCCGCAUGGGGGUUGGUGUAAAGCUCCGGCGGUGCAGGAUGAGCCCGCGGCCUAUCAGCUUGUUGGUGGGGUAAUGGCCUACCAAGGCGACGACGGGUAGCCGGCCUGAGAGGGCGACCGGCCACACUGGGACUGAGACACGGCCCAGACUCCUACGGGAGGCAGCAGUGGGGAAUAUUGCACAAUGGGCGAAAGCCUGAUGCAGCGACGCCGCGUGAGGGAUGACGGCCUUCGGGUUGUAAACCUCUUUCAGCAGGGAAGAAGCGCAAGUGACGGUACCUGCAGAAGAAGCACCGGCUAACUACGUGCCAGCAGCCGCGGUAAUACGUAGGGUGCGAGCGUUGUCCGGAAUUAUUGGGCGUAAAGAGCUCGUAGGCGGCCUGUCACGUCGGAUGUGAAAGCCCGGGGCUUAACCCCGGGUCUGCAUUCGAUACGGGCAGGCUAGAGUGUGGUAGG
RNAcentral lists this ribosomal RNA (600 nucleotides) under uncultured Streptomyces sp. RNAcentral's name for it is "bacterial SSU rRNA". It matches the Rfam family "Bacterial small subunit ribosomal RNA", at positions 37 to 655 of the family's 1533-position model. Lineage: Bacteria; Bacillati; Actinomycetota; Actinomycetes; Kitasatosporales; Streptomycetaceae. The record is from RNAcentral.